RNAcentral lists this ribosomal RNA (1533 nucleotides) under Bergeyella sp. RNAcentral's name for it is "bacterial SSU rRNA". It matches the Rfam family "Bacterial small subunit ribosomal RNA". Lineage: Bacteria; Pseudomonadati; Bacteroidota; Flavobacteriia; Flavobacteriales; Weeksellaceae. The record is from RNAcentral.
ACAAUGGAGAGUUUGAUCCUGGCUCAGGAUUAACGCUAGCGGGAGGCCUAACACAUGCAAGUCGAGCGGGAUUAUGUUAUUAGCUUGCUAAUGACAUAUGAGAGCGGCGUACGGGUGCGUAACACGUGUGCAACCUGCCUUUAUCAGGGGGAUAGCCUUCCGAAAGGGAGAUUAAUACCCCAUAAUAUACAGAUUGGCAUCAAUUGGUAUUGAAAACUACGGUGGAUAGAGAUGGGCACGCGCAAGAUUAGAUAGUUGGUGAGGUAACGGCUCACCAAGUCGAUGAUCUUUAGGGGGCCUGAGAGGGUGAUCCCCCACACUGGUACUGAGACACGGACCAGACUCCUACGGGAGGCAGCAGUGAGGAAUAUUGGACAAUGGGUGAGAGCCUGAUCCAGCCAUCCCGCGUGAAGGAUGAAGGACCUAUGGUUUGUAAACUUCUUUUGUACAGGGAUAAACCUAUCUACGUGUAGAUAGCUGAAGGUACUGUACGAAUAAGCACCGGCUAACUCCGUGCCAGCAGCCGCGGUAAUACGGAGGGUGCGAGCGUUAUCCGGAUUUAUUGGGUUUAAAGGGUCCGUAGGCGGAUUGGUAAGUCAGUGGUGAAAUCCUACAGCUCAACUGUAGAACUGCCAUUGAUACUGCUAGUCUUGAGUGUAGUUGAAGUAGCUGGAAUGAGUAGUGUAGCGGUGAAAUGCAUAGAUAUUACUCAGAACACCGAUAGCGAAGGCAGGUUACUAAGUUACAACUGACGCUGAGGGACGAAAGCGUGGGGAGCGAACAGGAUUAGAUACCCUGGUAGUCCACGCUGUAAACGAUGCUAACUCGUUUUUGGGGCGAUUGAGUUUCAGAGACUAAGCGAAAGUGAUAAGUUAGCCACCUGGGGAGUACGAACGCAAGUUUGAAACUCAAAGGAAUUGACGGGGGCCCGCACAAGCGGUGGAUUAUGUGGUUUAAUUCGAUGAUACGCGAGGAACCUUACCAAGACUUAAAUGGGAAUUGACAGGUUUAGAGAUAGACUUUUCUUCGGACAAUUUUCAAGGUGCUGCAUGGUUGUCGUCAGCUCGUGCCGUGAGGUGUUAGGUUAAGUCCUGCAACGAGCGCAACCCCUGUCACUAGUUGCCAUCAUUAAGUUGGGGACUCUAGUGAGACUGCCUACGCAAGUAGAGAGGAAGGUGGGGAUGACGUCAAAUCAUCACGGCCCUUACGUCUUGGGCUACACACGUAAUACAAUGGCCGGUACAGAGGGCAGCUACACAGUGAUGUGAUGCGAAUCUCGAAAGCCGGUCUCAGUUCGGAUUGGAGUCUGCAACUCGACUCUAUGAAGCUGGAAUCGCUAGUAAUCGCGCAUCAGCCAUGGCGCGGUGAAUACGUUCCCGGGCCUUGUACACACCGCCCGUCAAGCCAUGGAAGUCUGGGGUACCUGAAGUCGGUGACCGUCACAGGAGCUGCCUAGGGUAAAACAGGUAACUAGGGCUAAGUCGUAACAAGGUAGCCGUACCGGAAGGUGCGGCUGGAACAUCUCAUUUUAGA